Molecule: long non-coding RNA, 622 nt
Organism: Hordeum vulgare subsp. vulgare (domesticated barley)
Lineage: Eukaryota; Viridiplantae; Streptophyta; Magnoliopsida; Poales; Poaceae
Exons: 2
Source: RefSeq, a predicted model, not a curated record
GACACAACGCGCCAACGACCCAACCCACCGUGCCGCUGUCUCAACUGCGUCGCCGCGCCGACUAACCGUGCCACCCCUCUGGCCGACUGCUCCACCGCCCCAUCACGUCCUACACAACGUCGUCCGCCACAGGCCGCUAUGCACCACACUUUCAAAUUAGGAGCAACGAUGCCAAAUCCCUAUAGCAUGUUGCGCACCACCCUUUCAGGAGCAGCAUCGUCGUCCUCCUCGCCACGAGUGGCAACACUGUUUGUUGUGCCAAGGAGCAGCACUGCCAUCCCAGGCCACUCACAAGGAGAAGCAGCCGAGCAGUCAGCUGAUUUUUAGUUGCAACAACGCCGUUUGCUGCACCGACCACCACCACUUGCAAGGAUCCACCUCCACGGUUUGUCAGCAUCAAUAUUCCGAAUCUCUACAUUUUAGUUAGUAUUGUGUGAAUCCUUUGUGAAGGUGCAAUCAUCAUGGACAAAAGGUGGAUGGAUGAGCGUAGGUAUAACACAAAAUUUUAGCGGUUAUAGGGUGCUUAGCAAUUAUUUAACUACAUCUGAUCUGAUGCAUAUGUAUAUUUAUAUAACAUGUAGGCACAUAAAUGUGUAUCUGGAAGGGGUUGAAAAAUUCUUAA